GAUGAACGCUAGCGGCAGGCUUAAUACAUGCAAGUCGUGGGGCAGCAUGAGUGUAGCAAUACAUUUGAUGGCGACCGGCAAACGGGUGCGGAACACGUACACAACCUUCCUUCAAGUGGGGAAUAGCCCAGGGAAACUUGGAUUAAUACCCCGUAAUAUUAUGGAGUGGCAUCACUUUAUAAUUAUAGCUCCGGCGCUUGAUGAUGGGUGUGCGCCUGAUAGGUAGUUGGCGGGGUAACGGCCCACCAAGCCUUCGAUCAGUAACUGGUGUGAGAGCACGACCAGUCACACGGGCACUGAGACACGGGCCCGACUCCUACGGGAGGCAGCAGUAAGGAAUAUUGGUCAAUGGACGCAAGUCUGAACCAGCCAUGCCGCGUGAAGGAUGAAGGCCCUCUGGGUU
This 403-nucleotide ribosomal RNA is filed under the name uncultured bacterium. RNAcentral's name for it is "bacterial SSU rRNA". It matches the Rfam family "Bacterial small subunit ribosomal RNA", at positions 28 to 424 of the family's 1533-position model. The record is from RNAcentral.